UACGGAAGGCAGCAGUGGGGAAUAUUGCACAAUGGGCGCAAGCCUGAUGCAGCCAUGCCGCGUGUAUGAAGAAGGCCUUCGGGUUGUAAAGUACUUUCAGUCGUGAGGAAGGUGUUAAGGUUAAUAACCUUAGCAAUUGACGUUAGCGACAGAAGAAGCACCGGCUAACUCCGUGCCAGCAGCCGCGGUAAUACGGAGGGUGCGAGCGUUAAUCGGAAUUACUGGGCGUAAAGGGCACGCAGGCGGUUAAUUAAGUUGGAUGUGAAAUCCCCGGGCUUAACCUGGGAAUGGCAUUCAAGACUGGUUAGCUAGAGUCUUGUAGAGGGGGUAGAAUUCCAUGUGUAGCGGUGAAAUGCGUAGAGAUGUGGAGGAAUACCGGGUGGCGAAGGCGGCCCCUGGGACAAAGGACUGACGCUCAUGUGCGAAAGCGUGGGGAGCGAAACAGGAUUAGAUACC
Molecule: ribosomal RNA, 456 nt
Filed under: uncultured bacterium
Lineage: Bacteria
Description: bacterial SSU rRNA
Rfam family: Bacterial small subunit ribosomal RNA
Source: RNAcentral